This 497-nucleotide ribosomal RNA is filed under the name uncultured bacterium. RNAcentral's name for it is "partial 16S ribosomal RNA". It matches the Rfam family "Bacterial small subunit ribosomal RNA", at positions 28 to 507 of the family's 1533-position model. The record is from RNAcentral.
GAUGAACGCUGGCGGCGUGCCUAAUACAUGCAAGUCGAGCGAACAGACGAGGAGCUUGCUCCUCUGACGUUAGCGGCGGACGGGUGAGUAACACGUGGAUAACCUACCUAUAAGACUGGGAUAACUUCGGGAAACCGGAGCUAAUACCGGAUAAUAUAUUGAACCGCAUGGUUCAAUAGUGAAAGACGGUUUUGCUGUCACUUAUAGAUGGAUCCGCGCCGCAUUAGCUAGUUGGUAAGGUAACGGCUUACCAAGGCGACGAUGCGUAGCCGAACUGAGAGGGUGAUCGGCCACACUGGAGCUGAGACGCGGUCCAGACUCCUACGGGAGGCAGCAGUAGGGAAUCUUCCGCAAUGGGCGAAAGCUUGACGGAGCAACGCCGCGUGAGUGAUGAAGGUCUUCGGAUCGUAAAACUGUGUUUUUAGGGAAGAACAACUGUGUAAGUAACUAUGCACGUCUUGACGGUACCUAAUCAGAAAGCCACGGCUAACUACGUG